RNAcentral lists this long non-coding RNA (1134 nucleotides) under Oncorhynchus kisutch (coho salmon). Its description in RNAcentral is "lncRNA (ENSOKIG00005018078.1)". The record is from RNAcentral. Lineage: Eukaryota; Metazoa; Chordata; Actinopteri; Salmoniformes; Salmonidae.
AUGUGGUGUUUGACAGUCGUCAGAGCAUUCCAAGUUUUGCCUACCUUUUUCUCAGAUAUGUAUUCAGAGCUCUUAUCAAAAGACAGGGGCAUUUGUACUUUUGCGAUAGAGAUGUCGAAGGUGAAGUUGCCUUCACCAUCUUUAACUGCAGGUAAACUGAUUGCGCUUGACAAUGUAGCAGUCCAAUUUGUUUUAGUGCUAUGGUUUGAUUUUAUUAUAAUAAUUUCAAACAACACUGCCUUACAAAGAUGGUUGUUUAUUUGUUCACAUUUGGACCAAUUAUCUCCUAUGUGCUGUACUUUUUUCUCUCUAAGGUUCAACAAGGAUCUACUGAGGAGGUUCUGUAGUGCAGCUGGAUAUGGCUGGGACUACCCAGACAUUGAGUUCAGGGAUAUCCCUCUGUGUUACCCAGACACCCUCUGUCUGCGGAUGCUUGACAUAUUAAUAUCUGCUGAGAAGUUCAGAUUGAGCCCUCUGGGUCUAGUCCGGCUACGUCAGAGUUUGAGAACAUGGCAGCCAAUAGAUGAGCUGAAGAAGGGACCCUUCAAGUUGCAGGCUCGUGUGUUAGAGUACAGGGUUGUUGAAGAUGGGGUGGAGGUUGACAUUUCUUUAACUGCCAUUUCACACACUGACCAGCCAGUAUGGGAGAGUGUUUUGACAAUGCUCUCCCAGGACAGAGGCCGAACACCAAACACACAACCUAAACCUGAGUGGUAUGAUGGUCACAUGGACACAUCAGAGCCAGAUGACGUGAAGGCGGUAGAUAUCAAUGUUCCCUGGACUACAGGACUGACGUUUGUGUGGGCUUUCUCUGACUACUCUCCACGUUGUCUCCUAACUCUUCCUGCUAAACUCUUGGGCUGCAGAUGUACCCCAACUCCUAGUCUAUGGAUGCUGUCUAAAUGCUUGGCUGAAAUUGAAAAGCACAAAGGAGUUGAUGCCAUUAGAGCCCCCAUCUCUGUCACCGCCCAGUUCAAGGAACCAUUGUUGGUACCAGGAAAAGUGACCAUCAAAUUUUGUGAGAGUGCGGGAGUGCAGUCCAAAUGUGUUAGCUUCCAAAUGGAGCAAUACGAGAGGAAGAUACCUCACAUCACGGGACAAAUCUGCAGGACUACUGUAGAGGAUGUGAAUUAA